Molecule: long non-coding RNA, 504 nt
Organism: Cyprinus carpio carpio
Lineage: Eukaryota; Metazoa; Chordata; Actinopteri; Cypriniformes; Cyprinidae
Source: Ensembl
AAAAAAACAAAUUUAUUAUGAAAAUAAAAGUGUGUACACCAGUUAAACUGGACGAUAAAGAAAUUGCUAACAAUAGUUUAAUAGAGCAUGUUUUAGGUUUAUAGGUGUUUAGAUGCAGAAAUUUAAUUUAAUUAAAUAUAGAUUAAUUCUUGUUAGAGCAAAAAAAAAAAAAAAUAAUAAUAAUAAUAAAUACAUGAAUACAUACAAAAAAAGCAGCCAAGACGAAUGAUUUUCUGUUUUUAUAGAUUAAAAUUAAAGACAGAAAGCAGCUGGUAAAUGCAGUCACUUUAAUAUUCAAAUCCAGUAUCAUGAUACACUUCAGAUUUAUUUCUCAACUGUUUAUGUUCACGUGACUGUUUUCGUUUAUAUUCGCCAAGCUAUUAUGUAUUUUGAAAUAACCUUGUUCUUGAUUUGUUCGUUCUUGCCAGAAUCAGCGUCCUCUGGAGCUCGAGAGAUCGAUGUUAUUCUGCCCUUAGACAGUCUCGCGCUGUCAAAUAGUCUUUC